UACGUAGGUGGCAAGCGUUGUCCGGAUUCACUGGGUGUAAAGGGUGCGCAGGCGGAUUUGUAAGUCAGAGGUGAAAUCUCACGGCUUAACCGUGAAACUGCCUUUGAUACUGCAGAUCUUGAGUUUGGGAGAGGUUGAUGGAAUUCCAGGUGUAGCGGUGAAAUGCGUAGAUAUCUGGAAGAACACCAGUGGCGAAGGCGGUCAACUGGCCCAUAACUGACGCUCAUGCACGAAAGCGUGGGGAGCAAACAGG
RNAcentral lists this ribosomal RNA (253 nucleotides) under uncultured bacterium. RNAcentral describes it as "partial 16S ribosomal RNA". It matches the Rfam family "Bacterial small subunit ribosomal RNA", at positions 524 to 776 of the family's 1533-position model. The record is from RNAcentral.